GAUGAACGCUGGCGGCGUGCCUAAUACAUGCAAGUCGAGCGAACGGACGAGAAGCUUGCUUCUCUUAUGUUAGCGGCUGACGGGUGAGUAACACGUGGAUAACCUACCUAUAAGACUGGGAUAACUUCGGGAAACCGGAGCUAAUACCGGAUAAUAAUUUUAACCGCAUGGUUCAAAAGUUAAAGACGGACUUGCUGUCACUUAUAGAUGGAUCCGCGCUGCAUUAGCUAGUGGGUAAGGUAACGGCUUACCAAGGCAACGAUGGUUAGCCGAACUGAGAGGGUGAUCGGCAACAUGGGACCGGGGACACGGUCCAGCCCCCUACGGGAGGAACAAGGAGGGAAUCUUCGGCAAUGGGCGAAAGCCUGCCGGAGAAACGCCGCGUGAGUGAUGAAGGUUUUCGGAUCGUAAAACUCUGUUAUUAGGGAAGAAAAUAUGUGUAAGUAACUGUGCACAUAUUGACGGUACCUAAUCAGAAAGCCACGGCUAACUACGUG
RNAcentral lists this ribosomal RNA (497 nucleotides) under uncultured bacterium. RNAcentral's name for it is "partial 16S ribosomal RNA". It matches the Rfam family "Bacterial small subunit ribosomal RNA", at positions 28 to 507 of the family's 1533-position model. The record is from RNAcentral.